RNAcentral lists this long non-coding RNA (202 nucleotides) under Elaeis guineensis (African oil palm). RNAcentral's name for it is "long non-coding RNA (EGUI_LNC059274)". Lineage: Eukaryota; Viridiplantae; Streptophyta; Magnoliopsida; Arecales; Arecaceae. The record is from RNAcentral.
AGACUACCCUGGCCAAGAUUUUGCUAAAUUGAAGCACGACUAUACACAGCUCCUAAAUUGGAGUGGUCAAUCCCAUCUUGACACACGCACCGACAAGUCAAGUACUUGACUACACCCAGCAACCUUCCGUCACUGAAUUAGAAAUUCAGGUAGUCCAGUGCCUAAGUGCAGUGAGUUGCUUGCAAGUCACCAUGGUGGUCUC